This 2360-nucleotide ribosomal RNA is filed under the name Salmonella enterica. Its description in RNAcentral is "partial 23S ribosomal RNA". It matches the Rfam family "Bacterial large subunit ribosomal RNA", at positions 599 to 2925 of the family's 2925-position model. The record is from RNAcentral. Lineage: Bacteria; Pseudomonadati; Pseudomonadota; Gammaproteobacteria; Enterobacterales; Enterobacteriaceae.
GCGUACCUUUUGUAUAAUGGGUCAGCGACUUAUAUUCUGUAGCAAGGUUAACCGAAUAGGGGAGCCGGAGGGAAACCGAGUCUUAAUUGGGCGUUAAGUUGCAGGGUAUAGACCCGAAACCCGGUGAUCUAGCCAUGGGCAGGUUGAAGGUUGGGUAACACUAACUGGAGGACCGAACCGACUAAUGUUGAAAAAUUAGCGGAUGACCUGUGGCUGGGGGUGAAAGGCCAAUCAAACCGGGAGAUAGCUGGUUCUCCCCGAAAGCUAUUUAGGUAGCGCCUCGUGAAUUCAUCUCCGGGGGUAGAGCACUGUUUCGGCUAGGGGGCCAUCCCGGCUUACCAACCCGAUGCAAACUGCGAAUACCGGAGAAUGUUAUCACGGGAGACACACGGCGGGUGCUAACGUCCGUCGUGAAGAGGGAAACAACCCAGACCGCCAGCUAAGGUCCCAAAGUCAUGGUUAAGUGGGAAACGAUGUGGGAAGGCCCAGACAGCCAGGAUGUUGGCUUAGAAGCAGCCAUCAUUUAAAGAAAGCGUAAUAGCUCACUGGUCGAGUCGGCCUGCGCGGAAGAUGUAACGGGGCUAAACCAUGCACCGAAGCUGCGGCAGCGACACUCAGGUGUUGUUGGGUAGGGGAGCGUUCUGUAAGCCUGCGAAGGUGGCCUGUGAGGGUUGCUGGAGGUAUCAGAAGUGCGAAUGCUGACAUAAGUAACGAUAAAGCGGGUGAAAAGCCCGCUCGCCGGAAGACCAAGGGUUCCUGUCCAACGUUAAUCGGGGCAGGGUGAGUCGACCCCUAAGGCGAGGCCGAAAGGCGUAGUCGAUGGGAAACGGGUUAAUAUUCCCGUACUUGGUGUUACUGCGAAGGGGGGACGGAGAAGGCUAUGUUGGCCGGGCGACGGUUGUCCCGGUUUAAGCGUGUAGGUGUGUGUUCCAGGUAAAUCCGGUUCACUUUAACACUGAGGCGUGAUGACGAGGCACUACGGUGCUGAAGCAACAAAUGCCCUGCUUCCAGGAAAAGCCUCUAAGCAUCAGGUAACAUCAAAUCGUACCCCAAACCGACACAGGUGGUCAGGUAGAGAAUACCAAGGCGCUUGAGAGAACUCGGGUGAAGGAACUAGGCAAAAUGGUGCCGUAACUUCGGGAGAAGGCACGCUGACACGUAGGUGAAGUGAUUUACUCAUGGAGCUGAAGUCAGUCGAAGAUACCAGCUGGCUGCAACUGUUUAUUAAAAACACAGCACUGUGCAAACACGAAAGUGGACGUAUACGGUGUGACGCCUGCCCGGUGCCGGAAGGUUAAUUGAUGGGGUCAGCGCAAGCGAAGCUCCUGAUCGAAGCCCCGGUAAACGGCGGCCGUAACUAUAACGGUCCUAAGGUAGCGAAAUUCCUUGUCGGGUAAGUUCCGACCUGCACGAAUGGCGUAAUGAUGGCCAGGCUGUCUCCACCCGAGACUCAGUGAAAUUGAACUCGCUGUGAAGAUGCAGUGUACCCGCGGCAAGACGGAAAGACCCCGUGAACCUUUACUAUAGCUUGACACUGAACAUUGAGCCUUGAUGUGUAGGAUAGGUGGGAGGCUUUGAAGUGUGGACGCCAGUCUGCAUGGAGCCGACCUUGAAAUACCACCCUUUAAUGUUUGAUGUUCUAACGUGGACCCGUAAUCCGGGUUGCGGACAGUGUCUGGUGGGUAGUUUGACUGGGGCGGUCUCCUCCUAAAGAGUAACGGAGGAGCACGAAGGUUGGCUAAUCCUGGUCGGACAUCAGGAGGUUAGUGCAAUGGCAUAAGCCAGCUUGACUGCGAGCGUGACGGCGCGAGCAGGUGCGAAAGCAGGUCAUAGUGAUCCGGUGGUUCUGAAUGGAAGGGCCAUCGCUCAACGGAUAAAAGGUACUCCGGGGAUAACAGGCUGAUACCGCCCAAGAGUUCAUAUCGACGGCGGUGUUUGGCACCUCGAUGUCGGCUCAUCACAUCCUGGGGCUGAAGUAGGUCCCAAGGGUAUGGCUGUUCGCCAUUUAAAGUGGUACGCGAGCUGGGUUUAGAACGUCGUGAGACAGUUCGGUCCCUAUCUGCCGUGGGCGCUGGAGAACUGAGGGGGGCUGCUCCUAGUACGAGAGGACCGGAGUGGACGCAUCACUGGUGUUCGGGUUGUCAUGCCAAUGGCACUGCCCGGUAGCUAAAUGCGGAAGAGAUAAGUGCUGAAAGCAUCUAAGCACGAAACUUGCCCCGAGAUGAGUUCUCCCUGAGACUUUAGGUCUCCUGAAGGAACGUUGAAGACGACGACGUUGAUAGGCCGGGUGUGUAAGCGCAGCGAUGCGUUGAGCUAACCGGUACUAAUGAACCGUGAGGCUUAACCUUACAACGCCGAAG